RNAcentral lists this ribosomal RNA (516 nucleotides) under Streptococcus dysgalactiae subsp. equisimilis. RNAcentral's name for it is "bacterial LSU rRNA". It matches the Rfam family "Bacterial large subunit ribosomal RNA", at positions 1 to 518 of the family's 2925-position model. Lineage: Bacteria; Bacillati; Bacillota; Bacilli; Lactobacillales; Streptococcaceae. The record is from RNAcentral.
GAUAAGGUUAAGUUAAUAAGGGCGCACGGUGGAUGCCUUGGCACUAGAAGCCGAAGAAGGACGUGACUAACGACGAAAUGCUUUGGGGAGCUGUAAGUAAGCGCUGAUCCAGAGAUGUCCGAAUGGGGGAACCCACUAGCUACUGGCUAGUAUCCAUAACUGUUAAGGUUAUGAGAAGGAAGACGCAGUGAACUGAAACAUCUAAGUAGCUGCAGGAAGAGAAAGCAAACGCGAUUGCCUUAGUAGCGGCGAGCGAAACGGCAGGAGGGCAAACCGAGAAGUUUACUUCUCGGGGUUGUAGGACUGCGACGUGGGACUUUAAAAUGAUAGAAGAAUUACCUGGGAAGGUAAGCCAAAGAGAGUAAUAGCCUCGUAUUUAAAAUUAUUUUGAGCCCUAGCAGUAUCCUGAGUACGGCGAGACACGCGAAAUCUCGUCGGAAUCUGGGAGGACCAUCUCCCAACCCUAAAUACUCUCUAGUGACCGAUAGUGAACCAGUACCGUGAGGGAAAGGUGAA